This 460-nucleotide ribosomal RNA is filed under the name uncultured bacterium. RNAcentral's name for it is "partial 16S ribosomal RNA". It matches the Rfam family "Bacterial small subunit ribosomal RNA", at positions 338 to 795 of the family's 1533-position model. The record is from RNAcentral.
CCUACGGGAGGCAGCAGUGAGGAAUAUUGGUCAAUGGACGAGAGUCUGAACCAGCCAAGUAGCGUGAAGGAUGACUGCCCUAUGGGUUGUAAACUUCUUUUAUAUGGGAAUAAAAUGUUCCACGUGUGGGAUUUUGUAUGUACCAUAUGAAUAAGGAUCGGCUAAUUCCGUGCCAGCAGCCGCGGUAAUACGGAGGAUCCGAGCGUUAUCCGGAUUUAUUGGGUUUAAAGGGAGCGUAGGUGGCUUGUUAAGGCAGUUGUGAAAGUUUGCGGCUCAACCGUAACAGUGCAGUUGGAACUGGCAGGCUUGAGUACAGUAGAGGUGGGCGGAAUUCGUGGUGUAGCGGUGAAAUGCUUAGAUAUCACGAAGAACUCCGAUUGCGAAGGCAGCUCACUGGACUGCAACUGACACUGAGGCUCGAAAGUGUGGGUAUCAAACAGGAUUAGAUACCCUUGUAGUC